UCCUCCUCCUCCUCCAUCCUUCGGCUGCAGGCGAGGAGCUCUCGGGUUCCUCUGCUGCUUCUUGCCUUAAUCAUAUUGCUGCACGCUCCCCUUCACCCAGGCCCUUCCCACCACACCAACACCAUCCAUCCCCUGUUCUCGAAAUCCCUUCUCCACUUCCCUUAUUGCCUCCCUGGGUGUCCAUGUCCUUAAUUAUCUCUGGGGGAAUGUGCAAACUGCCUCAACAUUCUCCCCUUUUGUAAACAAUACUAUAUUCAUGUCUCUGUUAAAUCUUUGUUCUUCACACAGUUCUGGAAUUUACCUGGACUUUAGCUGAGCAGCAUUUCCUGUUGAUUAAUAACAUUUUCUGACACUGA
Lonchura striata (white-rumped munia) is the source of this 356-nucleotide non-coding RNA. The record is from RefSeq and is a predicted model, not a curated record. NCBI's taxonomy places the organism in Eukaryota, Metazoa, Chordata, Aves, Passeriformes, Estrildidae.